RNAcentral lists this transfer RNA (72 nucleotides) under Camelus bactrianus (Bactrian camel). It matches the Rfam family "tRNA". From Rfam's summary of the family: Transfer RNA (tRNA) molecules are approximately 80 nucleotides in length. Their secondary structure includes four short double-helical elements and three loops (D, anti-codon, and T loops). RNAcentral also lists the same sequence under 2 other names. The record is from Rfam by way of RNAcentral. Lineage: Eukaryota; Metazoa; Chordata; Mammalia; Artiodactyla; Camelidae.
GAGGCUAUGGCUCAGUGGUAGAGUGCAUGCCUAGCAUGCCCAAGGUCCUAGGUUCAAUCCCCAGUACCUCCA